Molecule: long non-coding RNA, 465 nt
Filed under: Hordeum vulgare
Lineage: Eukaryota; Viridiplantae; Streptophyta; Magnoliopsida; Poales; Poaceae
Description: long non-coding RNA (HVUL_LNC004677)
Source: RNAcentral
CUUUGGCUAUUUGAGGAGAAAGUAUGGUAAAUUGCGCGUACGUCGACACUGUUGCGGGGCAGUUUGAAUGGAGGCCCCUGCGUUGGUUGGGUCUCUAUAAUAGCCUCUCCGCUUUUAGCCAGCUGCCUAAAGACCCAACAAGCUCAAAGCAUGUGGGUCGUGACAGUGUUAGGUAGUACGGGGUGCAUGUGACAUGGGCUAUCCAACAGCUUGUCCAGUACGGUUUGGGAUCCGUCAAGGGGUUUGCUCAUUUUCUUCGAAGGCCCGUACUCAACUAAUCUAUGUUGGAGUAUGCGUUUCUGCCGAACUUCUCCGGGCUGGAGAAGUAGAUGUAAUCUCAACCAGCACGAUGGCAUGGUGGAGAUGAUGGUGGAGCAGUGCCAGCAGGGCUUCGCCAAGCGCUGCCGGAACCGAUAUGAGGAGAAAACAAAGUUAUGGGAGAGGUAGGGCUGCCAUCGGGGCGUG